RNAcentral lists this ribosomal RNA (253 nucleotides) under uncultured bacterium. Its description in RNAcentral is "partial 16S ribosomal RNA". It matches the Rfam family "Bacterial small subunit ribosomal RNA", at positions 524 to 776 of the family's 1533-position model. The record is from RNAcentral.
UACGUAGGGGGCAAGCGUUGUCCGGAUUUAUUGGGCGUAAAGCGCGUGUAGGCGGCUAGAUAGGUCCGUUGUGAAAACUCGAGGCUCAACCUCGAGACGCCGGUGGAAACCAUCUAGCUAGAGUCCGGAAGAGGAGAGUGGAAUUCCUGGUGUAGCGGUGAAAUGCGCAGAUAUCAGGAAGAACACCCGUGGCGAAGGCGGCUCUCUGGUACGUGACUGACGCUGAGACGCGAAAGCGUGGGGAGCGAACAGG